AAGGUGUUCAUGUGGGAGGAUUGCUGUUAUCCGGACAUCAUGGACCGACGAUAACCCAGGAAGAAGGUUCUUUUCAUGUCCAUUUAAGCCUAGCAACUGCCCUUUCAUUGGUUGGGUCGACCCACCGAUGUGCUUACGGUCAUCUAGGAUCAUACCCGGUCUUUUGAGGAACAUCAACAACCUGCAAGCUGAACUGUUUACCCGCGAACAAGAAAUUCGGAAGAAGAAGAGGGUUAUAUGGUUACUGAUAUUAGCGUUAGUGUUUGGCAGCUUAAUUGUUAGGGUUGUUUGUUAUCAUUAAGAAUUAGUUAGUACUUAGUUGGAUCAUGCUUAUUAGUAUGUUUAAUGACAUUUUCCUAGUAUGUACUUGUUGAUGUUUGGUUGAAUCUGAGUUUUUUCUA
Molecule: long non-coding RNA, 401 nt
Organism: Helianthus annuus (common sunflower)
Lineage: Eukaryota; Viridiplantae; Streptophyta; Magnoliopsida; Asterales; Asteraceae
Exons: 2
Source: RefSeq, a predicted model, not a curated record